Molecule: ribosomal RNA, 207 nt
Filed under: uncultured bacterium
Lineage: Bacteria
Description: partial 16S ribosomal RNA
Rfam family: Bacterial small subunit ribosomal RNA
Source: RNAcentral
UAUGUAGGCGGUUCGGAAAGUCAGAUGUGAAAGCCCGGGGCUCAACCCCGGAACUGCAUCAGAUACUCCCGAACUAGAGUAAUGGAGGGGUAGCUGGAAUUCUCGGUGUAGCAGUGAAAUGCGUAGAUAUCGAGAGGAACACUCGUGGCGAAGGCGAGCUACUGGACAUUUACUGACGCUGAGAUACGAAGGCCAGGGUAGCGAAAG